CCUACGGGUGGCAGCAGUCGAGAAUCAUUCACAAUGGGGGAAACCCUGAUGGGGCGACGCCGCGUGGGGGAAUGAAGGUCUGCGGAUUGUAAACCCCUGUCAUGUGGGAGCAAAGUAAAAAGAUAGUACCACAAGAGGAAGAGACGGCGAACGCUGUGCCAGCAGCCGCGGUAAUACAGAGGUCGCAAGCGUUGUUCGGAAUCACUGGGCGGAAAGCGUGCGGAGGCUGUUUCGUAAGGCGUGUGUGAAAGGCGCGGGCUCAACCCGCGGACGGCACAUGAUACUGCGAGACUAGAGUAAUGUAGGGGGAACCGGAAUUCUCGGUGUAGCCGU
Molecule: ribosomal RNA, 333 nt
Filed under: uncultured bacterium
Lineage: Bacteria
Description: partial 16S ribosomal RNA
Rfam family: Bacterial small subunit ribosomal RNA
Source: RNAcentral